Molecule: long non-coding RNA, 2054 nt
Organism: Oryzias sinensis (Chinese medaka)
Lineage: Eukaryota; Metazoa; Chordata; Actinopteri; Beloniformes; Adrianichthyidae
Source: Ensembl
CCUGGGUAAUAAAGGAGUGGCUUUGUAAAAAGUGUUUGAAGGUCCUGGAGUGGCCUAGCCAGUCUCCAGAUCUCAACCCCAUAGAAAAUCUUUGGAGGGAGUUGAAAGUCUGAGUUGUCCAUCGACAAUCCCAAAACAUCUGUGCUCUAGAGGAGAUCUGCAUGGAGGAAUGGGUCAAAAUACCAGCAACAGCUUUUGAAAACCUUGUGAAGACUUACAAAAAAUGUUUAACUGCUGUCAUUGCCAACGAAGGGUAUAUUGCAAAGUACAGAGUUGAACUUUUGUUAUUGACCAAAGACUUAUUUUCCUCCAUAAUUUAAACAAUAAGUUAUUUAAAACCCAACAAUGUGAUUUUCUGGAUUUUUAAAAAAUCUUUAAGUGGGAGAACGUGCACAAUUGGUGUCUGAGUAAAUACUUAUUUCUCCCACAGUAGUUGUUACGUACAAACUAUAAUCAGCGUGACACAAGUUCCCUGCUCCGCUCAAUACUGAUUCAUCCACUGUCAGACAAAUAGAUCCAUGCAUGUCUUUGUUUUCCUCGUCUGAGCUGGAAUCUGGAUCUAAACUGUACGGCUGGAUAGCUCCAAUAUUGCUCGCCAUUUUUGUUGCGCCACUAAUGUUAGCUUUAGGGUGUAAGGGGCUGUAAGCAAUAGGGAGAGAAUGUAAACAAAGCAUAUUUGUUUUAAAAACAGUUCUUGCUCUGAUACCUUUUUUAACAUCUUCAACAAAUCCUAAUUUAUUCUUUCUAUUUUUUUCUUUAUAACUUUCUAUUUUUAAUUGAUGCUGUAAUCUUUAAUAUGUUUUUGUAUUGAUUUAUUUGCAAUUACGUAUUAUAGUCACAUCUUUGCUUAUCUUUCACUCUCUAAAGCUGUCGAAUGUCUCCUAGGGUUCUGUAUCUUCACAGCACCAGCAAAGCUUUAUGGCCAGGACUGAAUGAAGAAACGCAGCACCAGACGUUUCAAGGUUUCAAACCUUCCAGCAUUCUCAGCGGCGUUCUUCCGCUCAUCUGCUGUUUUCAGCUUAAGCCUCGUCCUUUGGUCCCUCCAUAAAUCACAGCAAAUUUGCUGCAGCCUCCACUUGUCUUAUAUCUGCAAAUGUGAAGUGUCAGUUAAAGGAAAAUGACUGUGCUGCAGGUUCUGUCCACUGAAAACAGAAACAAUCAUCUUCCACAGAGGAUUCUCAGCAGAAACUCACAUUUCAGAUCCCAGAAACGAUGACUGACAGUGGAAUAAUGAUCAAAGUGGUUCAAAAAAACUCCAAAUGGAAAAUUAAUGGAUGCUGGAGCAAAGAAGCAGGAAAUGAAGAGGCAGAGACGCUUCAGAGAGCAGUAGGAGAAUCAGAUAAAAGCAUGAAUGGGAGGGGGGUGAACAUGAACUCUGUGACAUGAUAUAACAAUAGAAGCUCAUUAAUGCGUGUUUGACGUCAGUUUUCUGCACGUGGAUGUAAGAAUGAGAGGACGCAGCUCUGCUGCAGUUAUUUCAGGUCCUGUCAGUCCAGCGCUGCCUGACUUCCUGUCUCUUCGGCGCAGUAAUAACUCCCUCACGCUGCCCCUGUCCAAGGUAUGAAAUCAUUAUCAUGCUUGGGAGUGAUGAUGGAGCGCUGUGAGUCACCAGCAGUCUGCCGCCACUGAUUGGUGCAGAGACGACUGCAGGAACGUGGCCUUCCACGCUUCUGAUAACACACAUCAAGGUGGGUGACUGAGUUCACGAGAGCUGAAGCACUCUGGGCUUCACGCUUCACUGAAAGACCCAGUUAGACUUUAGUCAGAGUCACUUUCUAUCCUUUAGUGGAUGCUCCAAGGUCAGAACUCAGGUCAGAACCAUGAACUCACGAUCAGGCUUUUCUCAGGGCAGACUGCUGCCCUCAAAUGCUCUAAAUAAUUCAAAGAACAGAAACACAGACUCCCAAAACUCUGAGAGACUGAAGAUUUUCUCAGAGCUCAUUCUUACUCACAGAAGAAAUCCAAUGUAUUCUUGUUUGAUUUUUACUCAGGCUGACCUAUUAUUUUAGUCACAUCACAAACAUUCAGACAGAAUUCUUUUUAGAAUAAAAUCU